This 75-nucleotide transfer RNA is filed under the name Patescibacteria group bacterium. Its description in RNAcentral is "tRNA-Phe". It matches the Rfam family "tRNA". Rfam says of the family: Transfer RNA (tRNA) molecules are approximately 80 nucleotides in length. Their secondary structure includes four short double-helical elements and three loops (D, anti-codon, and T loops). The record is from RNAcentral.
GGGUAGUUAGCUCAGCAGUAGAGCAGGAGACUGAAAAUCUCCGGGUCAGUGGUUCAAAUCCACUACUGCCCACCA